AGAGGGGGACUUUCAAUGACUAUGGUGUUGUGGUUGCAGUCUUUUUCAGAAGAAUAUGCCAUACUGUAAGCCAGAAGCAUGAUCAUCCAAAGACGAGCACUGGAGUUGGCAGUUCUGGCCCUGGACAGUGGCAGAGAGAGAAGCAGCAGUGGAUGAUGGCAACAGAACUGGAAGUGACUGGAGUUGUCAAUUCCCUGUGGAGGACAGUGGAGAAGGGACUGGGCUCCUGGAGCAAAAGGGAGUCAGAAGAGCCCUAUCCAUGCCUGGGGUGCAGCCUGACAGGGAGUUGACCAACCCAGAGGAGCCAGUGAGACAGAAGCUGGAGAUGGUGGAGAAAGCCAAAGGGGAAAAGCAACUAUCACCUGGGGACUUGAGGAUCUCUCGAUGGAAACGAAUUGUCCCAAGUAGAAGGGCAAAUUGAUUGGUGAUUACCUCUUUCUGAGACUUAGGAUGGACUCAUUUAAAUUGAUUUAUUUGCAUCUGAGUGGAAAAUUGAUUUAUAUUCAUCCCUGUUUUGACUUUGACUGAAUUGAUUUAAAUUAAGGGACAUGGGUAUUGCAAAGGGACUAAUAUAAACUGUUUGCUGUUCAGGCUUGCCUGAAUUAUAGACUGAAGGGAAGCUGGGCUAAGUUGAGACCAUUAGAGGUGGCCAACAACCCACUGACCUCAAUACCCACUGACCUCAAGGCACAGAGAAUCUCCAUCUGUUGGGACAUGGUAAAAUUGGUGUGUAAGGGGGGGGGAGGAGCCCCAAAAAGAAGACUUAUCUAGGUAAUCCAAGAAGGUCAUUACUCAGCCUGCUUCCACCUCCCAAUCAGUAACCAGAAACAUAAAGGGUGUGGAAUGCAUGAGAAGGGCAUCACAGGCUAGGUAUUCACAGAACCUUACAGAUCUCCCCACAGCUCACCCCAACAAGGUGCCAGGUCAUUGGGGACCAUGGCCAUAUAGCAUCCAUACUAGACAAAGGUGUCCUUGAAUCUCUUGUUUUGCCCACCUAUAGAGCAGUUUCCAUUAUCAAGAAUGGAAUAUACACAACAUCAAUAACCAGUGGCAAUGAUACACAAAAAAUUAGGAAAGGAAAUGAAAAGGUACCAUAUCAAAUUGAAAUUGCAUACAUACCUUUAGGUCAACAUCAAUUCAUAAACUCUCUAAACUAAAAUGAAUCAGGACUGUAGGGAUACUCACCAUGUUAUCACAAAUGAUGUACUUAGGAUCUUUAGUAAUCCCAAAUGAUCAGAACCUUGAUUAAAUUUCACCCUAACGUUGCCAGUGGAUUGUUAAUUGAUUUGAUACUCACAAAACAUCUGUACUGUUCAACUGUCUUUACUCCUCAAUAUGCCAUUAGGGUGAAAGAACAGGGGACCCAGCCACAAAUCACUGAUGUCAGGAUCUGUAACAGCCUAAAUACCUCAUGAUCAGUUUCAUCAACAACUCUUAACAUAAUCCUCAUGGAUACUUUAUAUUCAACAUUUGUUAGGAAGAAAUCAUCAACUAUAAUC
This is a long non-coding RNA of Alligator mississippiensis (American alligator), 1499 nucleotides long. RefSeq lists it as uncharacterized. NCBI's taxonomy places the organism in Eukaryota, Metazoa, Chordata, Crocodylia, Alligatoridae. The record is from RefSeq and is a predicted model, not a curated record. The transcript is spliced from 3 exons.